Molecule: long non-coding RNA, 2085 nt
Organism: Neofelis nebulosa (Clouded leopard)
Lineage: Eukaryota; Metazoa; Chordata; Mammalia; Carnivora; Felidae
Exons: 2
Source: RefSeq, a predicted model, not a curated record
UCCCCCCACACCCCCCCAAAGCCAGGCCUAUAGAUGUGGGGGCACAAAGGAUCUGGGGGCACCAGUAAGGAAUCGCUCAUCUUUCCAGGUUCACCUACUCCUUCUGAAUCUCCUGCCAGAUUCCCAGACUCCCUCUUACCCCCACCACUCCCUUCAAUUUUCCUCAGCACCGAUGGGGCAAACCCGAGGGACUGGAGGACACUGGGAGUCCCUGUUGGGGAGGGGGGGAAACCCCAGCUUUAGCUGGCACUUCUGCAUCCGCUCUGGUGCUUAGAGCUUGCCUCCGACCCCAAAAGAUUACACUAGGCACAGGAGAGCCCCCUAAGGGGGAGGGGCACCUUUACUCCAUCACCUCAGACCUGCACAGCUGCGACCACAACCAAGCUAGCACCACCGCGGGAAGGACAGACAGACAGACGGACAGGUUAGCGUCAUCCCCUCCCCUUGCUCUGCGCCUCCCUCUCAGUGAUUUAAAUUCCCUCCGGUUCAAUCCACACCGUCAAGUUCGGAUUAAAUUUAAAACAGGCUUUUCUCCUGGUCCGCAGCCGCCGCAGGCAGGGAGCCCGCUCCCCGGCUCGUCAGCACCCGCCCGCGCGGAGGAGGCCGUGCUCCAUUUGCUUUCAUUUUCCUUCUCCCCCUGAAAUGGGCUCGUUUCACCUCUCCGCUGCCCUCUCCCCCUCCCCGCCCCCUCCCCGGUUCCCCUCUUCUUUCCCCCCUUCUCGUUCCUGGUCCCUCUUUGUUGGGAAAAACACACCCACACACAACUCCUCCUGGCUAAGGCCUGCGCUGGAAGCAGAAACUGAAUUCUCCUGGCCCGCCGCGAGGAGACCGCGUCCUGCCCCCACCCCAGGGCGUUGGGCAGAGACCCGGAAGACUCGGUCCCUCUGGCUUGGUCCAAUCCCGCCUCGGGAAGCGCCUUCGUUACCUGCUCCUCGGCUCCCCACGGCCACAGAUGCAGGGCAGCCGCCUCCCGCCGGGGGAGGGAAGCCCCGGCCACCGCAGCCGCCGCCGCUGCCCGCCCUCCUUCCCUCCCUCCCUCUUUCUCGCCCUCCCUCCCUCUCUCCCUCCCUCGCGCGCUGCCGCUCGCGGGGCCCUCCCGCGGGCAACCUGUUCUGGACCAAAUCCAGGUAUCUCCGAAAGAGAGAGAGAGAGAGAGACAGAAGGACCUCUUACGUGGAAAAGAAAGAAAGACCCUUAACCGCGUUUAUUUUCCAAGCUCUGACCACUGGCCGGCCUCUGUUCAGACGCCCUGGACACGGCCCUGUAGCAGCAGAGGUGUGCGGGGCCUGCUGCCUCGCCCAUGCUGACCGCCGCGCCCCUCGCACAGCGCGCUCCACACUCUGGGCCGCCGCCCCCCGGCAGCCCAAACACCAAACAGACCUCAAGGUCCUUCCUACAGACUCAACAUCCGGUCGCCCGCCUCGAGGCUGGCCUCCGCCCGCCCCGGAGCCCGCUCUGCUCCGUCUGCGGCCAAAGUCCACACACAAUCCACCUUGCCCGUGCUCUCGCGCCGGGCCCGGACGCCCCUCCUGACCGAGGCGCCCGCCGGGCCACACUCGGCCCACGGUCCUGCCCGGGACUGCAAACCUCGUCCCCUGCACGGGACCCACACAAAGCCCAGUGCCCUGACGCUCCCACCCGCAGCCCCCAGUCCCCAGCCGCUGCUGCCCCUUCACCUGUUCCCGAGAAAGGCUGCGUCUCCGAGCCGGGGCAAAGCCGUGGGCCUGGGCGGAGGGUGCCGGGGGAACCGGGGAGCCGAGGUCCCAGGGAGGUUACAGAAGAUCCGCCGGGCUAAGCCGGAGCCCCCGCAGCCGGCGAGAUUAUCUCAGAGACCAAAGCUCUCCUUGGCGAGCUCUUGCCUUUUCCUCCGUCUCCCGCAAGUCUUAAACACUCACACGCCGAGAGUUCAGCUCUAUAAAUCCUGCUCCUCUUUCCCAUAUCAUAAUUAAAAAAAACCAGUAGGGGAGGUUUUAACUUUUAUUGCGAUUUCUGGAGUUGGGCUGCGGAGCAUAUAUUAAGUUUACGCUUAUGCGCUCUCGGCGGGGAGGGUCCUUUAAGAAAUAAAAAUCCAUCUUAAUAUCCGCA